UGGGCAAGACCAGCGCACAUUUGCGGCGUGCGCUGGCGAGUGCACACUAGCGAGAGACGCAGCAGAGGACGUCCUCACCAGGGCGCCUUUUUACCAUUUUCUUUCCUUUUUUCGCUUGCGACGUAGGAGCACAUCGCCGCACCUUCUCUCCGCUCUGCUGCCUCGCCGCGCUCUUCAGCUCUGCCGACAUCAUAGAUUUGUUUCGCGGCACACUGGAUGCAGCAAAAGACCAUACACCCACACAAACAAAAUACAAGCCUCAACAGCAGCGACAGCCAGCCGCUUCGACUAGCCGAUCCCUCCUGCCAAAGACAGGGGCACAGCAGGGAUUGCGCGUACUAGUGGAAGACCGUCGAGGGGAUCGAGGCAGCCACGGCCCCAGCCGCGAUAUUUGCGAGACACCACCAUGGAGGAGGUGCUUGCGAGUCAGCUGGUCGAACUGCGGAAGGAGCAGGGGCGACUGGAGGAGCAGCUUGGCCACACCGCGCUCGGGGUGCCUCGCGGAACGUGUCGCGCCUUCAUCACACCCGGAACCGAAACAUACGCGGAAACACACCGCUGCGUGCGAGAGCUCACUGCACAUGAGGCGAACAGUGCUGCCACCGCUGACGCAGGGGCUGCCGCCUCCACGCGUAGUCGCGGCGGUGGCGACGUACGAGGAGCGCCGCAACGCAAAGACGAGGCCGACACAAGGAAGAGCUCCCCACAAGCUCCGGCGACCCCUGGAGGGGCUGCCCGCAUGGACUCGAGCUAUCAAGAACGCCUCAGCGAGCUCGAGUCCCUCAAGCGCAAGUACGAGGCGUACGCCCGGGAGGCCAUGAACCAGUACUUCAGCUCCGUGAACGGCUACCAGGGCUACAAGGAACGCCGCGAGAAGAUGAUGAAGCGCGUGAAGCCGUUUGCGUUCGAGUCUCGCGAGCUUGUCAAGCCGCCGCGCAUCCGAGAGCAGCGCGCAGAGGCGGACCAGCGAGCGCGAGAUGCCGCUGCGACGGAGCAUCGCUGGCAUCCGUACAAGGCGACCCCUGUGCCGCCGUCUACCUUCAUGAAUAAGUAUGAGCUGAUGGUCGAAGAGUGGUGCCAGCGCAAGGCUGCCAUUGAGAUGAUGUCGCGCGAGCGGGCGCGCAUUGCCAAGGAUGACGCGGCCUUUGUGCGACUGUCUGCGCAGUCCUUGCGCAGCACGCGGGAAGGGCUUAUGGGUGUCGUAUACGGGCCUGAUGGCAAGCCGGUCACACGGAACGAGCUGCGGCGACGUGCCCGAAGCGCGGACGUCAUGAGAAGCCGGCACAAGAGCACCGGGGCACCACUUCGUGAGGUGCCGCUAGAGGUACGGAUGAAGCUGUGGCCUGCUCUAAGCGAUCACGAGCGGCUUCGGCGCGAGCGCAUCAAGUUUCUGGCGACUGUGCGCAAGUCCGAGGUGGACGCGGAGGUGCGCCAAGUGAUGCCGCUGCUAACGAGCCCCUCGCCAGCUCGCUGCUACGACGCUGCUAGCCCAGGCGGCAUCGACAUGGCCGCCUUACUGGCGGCUGCAAACGGAGAAAAUGUGGGCGCGGCAGUGCCGCGCUACGGGGUCGGUCAGGCCGUGCUUUCCUCUAAGCGAACCCCAUUCCCUACCGCUGAGGCAGGAGCGCUGGCCGCCGCGCUGUCACCUUCCACGGUGCCACCGCCACCGGCGGUUGUCAGUGGUUUGUCUCCGCGCACGUCGGUGCCCCCUCCUCCACCUCCCUGUGUGCCAACACCUCAGCCGCCCACUGGCGCAGCAAUGGCGGUGCCGGCGCCGGUGCCGUCUCUGCCGGCUGCCGUUCCUGAGCCGCCCCCAGGUGCCGUGGUGCUGCCGCCUCUGCCAACUGCUCCCACGACGGUUCCCACGACGGUUCCCACGACGGUUCCCACGGCGCCUCCCCCUUUUUUCCCUACUGGUAGCGCUGUGCCGGCUCCUCCAUCAGCCGGGCCGCCGCCGCCGCCGCCGCCAGCGCCGGCGUCGACGGCUGCUGCCGCGGCAACAGUCUCUUCAGCCACAGCAGGUGCAGCGGCGGGCUCGAAAGCAGCGAAGCAGAGCACGCAGCAAGAUAGGGAGGCAUUGUGGCGCCGCUAUAAUCCGCAGCUCACCUUCAAGCCGAACGUGCGGCCAGGUGUGCCGAAUUUCGAAGCGCUCUGGGCGCACAACAAGGCGACGCUCGCUCAGAGGAAGCUACAACACCCGACGACGGUGCCGCAGCCGUUUGACUUGACACCUAGUGCGCAGGACAACAGAAUUGUGGGGCGUCGGCCGGCGCGCAGCACCUCCGCACCCGGGCCGCCGCGCCGCCACGGAUCGCCGUCGGGCGGCAAGAGGCGGCAGGCAGCGGACACGCCGUCGAUGCCAGCUGGGAACGUAAUGGCACUCGCGUCACCGCGCAGCGGCGCUCCUCGCGGCACCCGCGCUCACGCCCUGCGGACGCAGGCGAUCUACUCGCACUACGUCAAACAGUCCGAGGAGCAGAGUGUGACGGCGGAAGGAGAUGAGCAGUACUGGAAGGCGGUGGCGCAGCGACAACGCGAGGUGCGGAAGCGGCUGUCUGCGUACCUGGUUGACCACCACGCCGAGCACGAACGGGCAAUCACGGAGAAAGUGCGGGCUUUGCGUGCUGCCAUGCGGGAGAGCGAAAAGGCAGCCAAGGAGCGGCUGGCAGAGAUGAAGCAGAGGGUCGCCGAAAUGCCGCCGGUGUUCGCCGAGCCGGUGCACCUGAACGAGCAAUCCAAGGUGCGCGUGGAGGCGGAGAAGAUUGUCCUGCAGUCUCUAAAGGAAGCGGGACUCGAUGGCGCCACCAUCAAGCGCAUCCUCACCUCCCCGCUGGUCGACGCCACGGAUGCCGCGACGGACGCAUUAGGCGCUGAAGCAGCGGACACGAGUAGGAUCGAAGGGGAUGGCGUUUCGCCCAUCGCGGCCGGUGAAGAGGACUCGAAGGCACAAGGAGCACCGUCCAGCGCGGCUGCACACAGUCCCCUCAGCAAACACGCGGAAGCCUCGAAACACGACUCUAGCGGCAGCAGUAGCAGCAGCGACAGCGACGCCAGCAGCAGCCGCAGCAGCGAGGGCUCCAUCAAGAAGUCUCCGCCUGGCAGCUCCGUGACCAGAAGAUCUUCUUGCCCGUCCGCCUCGACGCUUUCCGUGCCGGCGCCGCCGAAGCCGGUGGUGGCGGACAGGACGAGCGCCACCGAGUACAGCGACGACAGCUUUGAAUCUUCGGAUAGCGACUAGGCGCAGCGAGGAUCAUGCGCGCCGCCCUCUCUCCCUACUUUCCCCGGCUGCUGUGCACCUGCACACUUUAAAGUGGUUGGGGAUGGUGGCAACGGAUCGAGGAAGCGCACGCGUAUGCGUGUGUGCUCUAGCGCUUCUUGCACAGCGAUGUGAAGCGGUACUCGCGCUAUUGCCUCAAGAAGAUGGUUUCUUUGGUUUCCGGUUCUUGUUCAUAGAUGGCCAUGAGGGAUGCCGACGCGGUGGCGCCCCUCAGGAUACUUGUGUGCACGCGUGCAUGUGCAUGUGUGCGUGUGUGUGUAAGCGUGUCUUGAUUGUAUGGUCAGGCUGGAUUGAUUGGGUGCCCUGCCUCACAUUGUGAGCGUAGCGAACGGCGCGCACGGGCCUGCUUGUCCUUCCAUUCGGAGAUGAGCAUAUACGGAGAGGC
This 3662-nucleotide unclassified non-coding RNA is filed under the name Leishmania donovani. RNAcentral describes it as "gene:LdHU3.32.4580(CDS-product:Uncharacterised_pr otein_family_UPF0564_putative)". The record is from RNAcentral. Lineage: Eukaryota; Euglenozoa; Kinetoplastea; Trypanosomatida; Trypanosomatidae.